This 165-nucleotide non-coding RNA is filed under the name human gut metagenome. RNAcentral describes it as "Lysine riboswitch". It matches the Rfam family "Lysine riboswitch aptamer". Rfam says of the family: Riboswitches are metabolite binding domains within certain messenger RNAs that serve as precision sensors for their corresponding targets. Allosteric rearrangement of mRNA structure is mediated by ligand binding, and this results in modulation of gene expression. The record is from RNAcentral.
UGAUAGAGGCGCGGCCGCCAAGAGUAGCUCCCAUCAAUCCCGCAGGUACGGAGGGGAGGGAAAGGGACGGCCGCCGAGGUUCGGCGCCGCUGCCUGGCGCCGCCGGGCCGGGCCGUCGGAGAAGAUCCGCCGGACUGCCGGGGAAGCCCUCCCCGGAGCGCUGUC